UGUAACUUAGAUUGUUGGUAUUUUUAAAUAAUUCAUACAUUAGAACCAAAGACGAAAUCCAAAAUAAAUAAAUAACUCUUUUCUUUGCUGUGUCACCCCUGUAGAUGCGUAAACCUUUAAGUCUCUACCACCAACAUUGAAGUAUUAUGCAUCCAUUCUUGUCUAGACUACCUAUUUACUGAAUAACAUUCGGCAAAAGCAAUAUUUUGCUAUAAACAUUGCUAAUGUAAUCAAGAGUCAUUUCCAAGGUCAAAAAAGUUCACUAGCAUGAAAGCUUUUUCUUUACGAUCUAGUAAACGAGGAUAAAGAGCUACAAUCAUAUCUGUUAGCCUAAAUGAAAUUACGGGUGUUUUUAAGGCUCAACUUUUCUUUUCAGUUCAAUAACUUUGCUCAAGGACAAAACCCUGACUUGGCUCAAUUUCGUUACUCAGAUCAAUAAUUUGCUCACGAACAGUACCCUAAGAAUUGGUUUGUUAUUCAUUGAUACCGUUCAUUACCAAUCUGAUGGCUGCUUAUUCAACCAAAAUAUUUUCAUUCAUCAUAACCUCGAGUCUCAGAUAAUUAAGUCUAAAGAAAACGUUAUUUCUGCUAAUCAUUCAUUUUUGCUUGUCAUUACUAGGCUCAAAACCAGGUAUGUCAUUAUUUCCUCUAAUAUCUGUAUAUGGAGCAAAUGCCCUUAGAAAAAUUCCUCCGAUACAAGGUUGAAGUCUAUUUACUGUCCACGUGAGUUUACAAAAUAUAUGACUGCGAUAAUACGGAUCUAUAAGUGUAUGUAAUCCUUUUGAUUUGACAUUUACCAUUUCACCAGUUAGUAUGAAGCUUCAUAAAUGAUUUCAACAGUCCACGACCACUCCAACAAGCACCAUGAAUUUAUAGUUACUCUGCACCAUAGGUUCAUCAUGGAAAGCAAGUGCUAAAGAUGUCCAUAUGGAACAAAUCUAGAAAUUUGAAGAAAACCCAAACUUCCAUUUUUACAGCAUUUGCUUGUAUAGGUGUUUGGAUAUUUACUCUCUACUAUGUAUAAUGUUGCAGUGCUAAUCAUAAAAAAGCAUUUAUUGAUGAAACUGACAAUAGGCUACCAAGACAAAAG
This 1090-nucleotide long non-coding RNA is filed under the name Olea europaea subsp. europaea. The record is from RNAcentral. Lineage: Eukaryota; Viridiplantae; Streptophyta; Magnoliopsida; Lamiales; Oleaceae.